RNAcentral lists this ribosomal RNA (389 nucleotides) under uncultured bacterium. Its description in RNAcentral is "bacterial SSU rRNA". It matches the Rfam family "Bacterial small subunit ribosomal RNA", at positions 30 to 418 of the family's 1533-position model. The record is from RNAcentral.
AUUGAACGCUGGCGGCAUGCCUUACACAUGCAAGUCGAACGGCAGCACGGGAGCAAUCCUGGUGGCGAGUGGCGAACGGGUGAGUAAUAUAUCGGAACGUGCCCGGUCGUGGGGGAUAACGUAGCGAAAGCUACGCUAAUACCGCAUACGAUCUACGGAUGAAAGCGGGGGGAUCGCAAGACCUCGCGCGAUUGGAGCGGCCGAUAUCAGAUUAGGUAGUUGGUGAGGUAAAGGCUCACCAAGCCGACGAUCUGUAGCUGGUCUGAGAGGACGACCAGCCACACUGGGACUGAGACACGGCCCAGACUCCUACGGGAGGCAGCAGUGGGGAAUUUUGGACAAUGGGCGCAAGCCUGAUCCAGCAAUGCCGCGUGCAGGAUGAAGGCCUU